CUACGGGAUGCAGCAGUGAGGAAUAUUGCACAAUGGGGGGAACCCUGAUGCAGCAACGCCGCGUGGAGGAUGACGCAUUUCGGUGUGUAAACUCCUUUUAUAUGUCAAGAAAAUGACGGUAGCAUAUGAAUAAGCACCGGCUAACUCCGUGCCAGCAGCCGCGGUAAUACGGAGGGUGCAAGCGUUACUCGGAAUCACUGGGCGUAAAGGACGCGUAGGCGGGUUGGAAAGUCAGGUGUGAAAUCCUACAGCUUAACUGUAGAACUGCACUUGAAACUACCGACCUAGAGUAUGGGAGGGGAGGAUGGAAUUAGUGGUGUAGGGGUAAAAUCCGUAGAUAUCACUAGGAAUACCUAAAGCGAAGGCGAUCUCCUGGAACAUUACUGACGCUAAGGCGUGAAAGCGUGGGGAGCAAACAGGAUUAGAUACCCCCGUAGUC
Molecule: ribosomal RNA, 439 nt
Filed under: uncultured bacterium
Lineage: Bacteria
Description: partial 16S ribosomal RNA
Rfam family: Bacterial small subunit ribosomal RNA
Source: RNAcentral